Molecule: ribosomal RNA, 442 nt
Filed under: uncultured bacterium
Lineage: Bacteria
Description: partial 16S ribosomal RNA
Rfam family: Bacterial small subunit ribosomal RNA
Source: RNAcentral
CCUACGGGUCGCAGCAGUGGGGAAUAUUGGGCAAUGGGCGCAAGCCUGACCCAGCAACGCCGCGUGAAGGAAGAAGGCUUUCGGGUUGUAAACUUCUUUUAAGAGGGAAGAGCAGAAGACGGUACCUCUUGACUCAGCCACGGCUCACUACGUGCCAGCAGCCGCGGUAAUACGAAGGUGGCAAGCGUUUUCCGGAUUUCCUGGGUGUCACGGGCGUGCAGCCGGGAAGACAAGUCCGAUGUGAAAUCCCGCGGGUCAACCGCGGAACUGCAUUUGAAACUGUUGUUCUUGAGUACAGGAGAGGUCAUCGGAAUGCCUUGUGUAGCGGUGAAAUGCGUAGAUAUAAGGAAGAACACCAGUGGCGAAGGCGGAUGACUGGACGGCAACUGACGGUGAGGCGCGAAAGCGUGGGGAGCAAACAGGAGUAGAUACCCUUGUAGUC